GUGAAUCAUCGAAUUUUUGAACGCAAAUUGCGCUUCCUAGCAUCCCGGGGAGUAUUCCUGUUUGAGGGUAAGUAUUAACAAAAUAAUUGGUUUGGUUGCAAAUUGUGAGUUUUCCGGAGUUUGGGCUAUCUUAACUUUUUUGGUUAAGGGGUUUUAAAUUGACCUUUUUUGCGCAUUUUUAGACGUACAUAUAUUUUUUUUUUAUUUGUCUAUUCUUAAUGCCAAAAUC
RNAcentral lists this unclassified non-coding RNA (229 nucleotides) under Glomeraceae sp. Its description in RNAcentral is "partial contains 5.8S ribosomal RNA and internal transcribed spacer 2". The stretch from base 1 to 71 matches the Rfam family "5.8S ribosomal RNA", at positions 84 to 154 of the family's 154-position model. Lineage: Eukaryota; Fungi; Glomeromycota; Glomeromycetes; Glomerales; Glomeraceae. The record is from RNAcentral.